Molecule: ribosomal RNA, 458 nt
Filed under: uncultured bacterium
Lineage: Bacteria
Description: partial 16S ribosomal RNA
Rfam family: Bacterial small subunit ribosomal RNA
Source: RNAcentral
CCUACGGGCGGCAGCAGUGAGGAAUAUUGGUCAAUGGGCGAGAGCCUGAACCAGCCAAGUCGCGUGAGGGAGUACUGCCCUAUGGGUUGUAAACCUCUUUUGUCGGGGAGCAAAAGCCGGACGUGUCCGGCUGUGAGAGUACCCGAAGAAGAAGCAUCGGCUAACUCCGUGCCAGCAGCCGCGGUAAUACGGAGGAUGCGAGCGUUAUCCGGAUUUAUUGGUUUUAAGGGGUGCGCAGGCGGUCUGUUAAGUCAGCGGUAAAAGCCCGGGGCUCAACCCCGACCCGCCGUUGAAACUGGCAGUCUAGAGUUGGAGAGAGGUAUGCGGAAUGCGCGGUGUAGCGGUGAAAUGCAUAGAUAUCGCGCAGAACUCCGAUUGCGAAGGCAGCAUGCCGGCUCCACACUGACGCUGAGGCACGAAAGCGUGGGUAGCGAACAGGAUUAGAUACCCCGGUAGUC